UGAUAAUUUUGGAUUACGAAAGAAAAAAAAUCCAGAUAACAUUCGAAAGAUAGUACACAGGCCUUAAAACUAAAAUGACUUUAUUCACCUGUGGGGGAGUGGGACCAGCCAAUCCUUUAACCUGGAGUGCCUCAGCUGCAUUGAGAAGCUGUGGCAACUUGUCAUGAGCGACGUUCACUUCCCCUUUAUACAUGAAUUUAACUAAUGCCUCGACUUCCCAGAACUUCAGAUCCUUCAUCAGAAUAAUUGGAUGUUGACAGGGAUUUUCACGUAACAAUGCAGCUAGGUAAUCACUGCACGACGAGAGAAUGAUUUUGUGGCACUUGACAGAUUUGCCCUCGCAGGCGAGAGUCACAUCGACGAAUUCCUCAGAGUCCAGGAGGGAUGGGAAACUGGUCUGCAUGUUGCUGUGGUAACUGUUCCACCUCAGGCAUACCUGGAAAGAGAUUGAAUGUUCUCAUGGAGUCACAAAGUCAAAAGUGUUCAUUUUACUACUGGAGACGAUGAUUUUUUACCUCAGCCGGCUGUUGGGGGACGACAUUCUGUGGCACUCGAACCGGCUGUUGCCUCGGUAACAUCUUUAUAGUCGUAGGAGCAACUUGCUUCAUCUUCAGUGGAAUUGUCUUCAGGACCAGCGUUUUAGAGGCAUUCUUUUGUUGAGAGGAAGGUGCAGGAGCGAUGUUCCUCAACUGGGGGCGAACUGGUUGGCUCGGCGCCUUCAGAGAUUUCGGGGACGAGUUGCUCUGAGAAUUUGACUGCAUGACUGUUGACAAAAAGAAAAAUAAUUAAUUCCAGAGUAGAUGAAUGAUUUCACGUGUGGAGCCUCAGGAUUGUCAUACCAACAGAUGCAGGCUCGCUGGGUUCUGAUUCUGGUUCUGGGUCAGUCACUUCAUCUGCUGUUUCCAUCGAGGUGUUCUCCUCUUUAAUAUUUAAACUGCAGUCGACGAACAGUGGAUCAUCAGUGUCUGCCGACUGCUCUGGCAGUUCUGAUGGUGCCUUAGGCACCUCAGGCUCUUCCUUCGAUGUGGAAGCAGAUGUUGAUGGCCUCAAAACAACAGACUCUGUUAUCUGCUGACAUAUCUUUCGUUUUUUCUCCUUGGAAUACUCGAUGAAGUGCCUUGCCACCUUCGAUUUCCAUCCCCCGUGGCGUUUGAGGGUGGCCAGAUCUGCACCAGAAUCAGCGAGCAGUGUUGCUGAAGUACGACGAAAGCUGUGACCUGUGUAGCUCUCUGGAUUCGGCAAUUUCAGGUCGUAGCUUCAAGUACUUCCUGUACAUGUUGUAGAAUUCCCCGCAAAUGGUGAAUGAACGCUCGGGAUCGCUUUCGGUUUUUGGAAUUGUCACGAAGGCCAUUACACCGUCGUCCUCUAUGUCAUCCAUUGUUACGUUGCAGAGCUCUUGUCUUCUACAGGCUCCAAUUAUUCCAAAAAUCAGUGCAACCUGUAAAUUAAAUUGUUGUAAUGUGGAAGAUGUUGGAAUAAAAUUCAAUGAGCUUUCAA
This is a long non-coding RNA of Diachasma alloeum, 1497 nucleotides long. RefSeq lists it as uncharacterized. The record is from RefSeq and is a predicted model, not a curated record. Lineage: Eukaryota; Metazoa; Arthropoda; Insecta; Hymenoptera; Braconidae. The transcript is spliced from 3 exons.